This 395-nucleotide ribosomal RNA is filed under the name uncultured bacterium. Its description in RNAcentral is "bacterial SSU rRNA". It matches the Rfam family "Bacterial small subunit ribosomal RNA", at positions 28 to 429 of the family's 1533-position model. The record is from RNAcentral.
GACGAACGCUGGCGGCGUGCUUAACACAUGCAAGCCGAGCGGUAAGGCCCUUUCGGGGGUACACGAGCGGCGAACGGGUGAGUAACACGUGGGUGACCUGCCCUCAGCUCUGGGAUAAGCCUGGGAAACCGGGUCUAAUACCGGAUAUGACUCCAUGACGCAUGUUGUGGGGUGGAAAGCCUUGUGCGGCUGAGGAUGGGCCCGCGGCCUAUCAGCUUGUUGGUGGGGUGAUGGCCUACCAAGGCGACGACGGGUAGCCGGCCUGAGAGGGCGACCGGCCACACUGGGACUGAGACACGGCCCAGACUCCUACGGGAGGCAGCAGUGGGGAAUCUUGCGCAAUGGGCGAAAGCCUGACGCAGCGACGCCGCGUGAGGGAUGACGGCCUGUGUAAC